RNAcentral lists this long non-coding RNA (8515 nucleotides) under Triticum aestivum (bread wheat). Its description in RNAcentral is "long non-coding RNA (TAES_LNC000513)". Lineage: Eukaryota; Viridiplantae; Streptophyta; Magnoliopsida; Poales; Poaceae. The record is from RNAcentral.
GGAACCUGCUCGUCGUUGAAUAUGCCUGGUGCUCUCCUGCCUCCUUCGUGCAUGACUGCCCGUGAAUUUCCUCGUCCAUCGGCCGAUGCGUUAUCCAGCCCUGUUCGGUAGAUGCAUUUCUGGGCAUCAGUACCUGUACUUCCUUCCGUUAAUUGAUCUAGGACUCUUGUUGCCCCGGUGAGUUAAAUCUCUUGUUUGUCCAUCGAUCUGUUUAUAACUUUAUAUUAGUUAUACUUGCCCGUUGCAAUCUUGACUUGCUUUUCCUACAAAAUCGGUCGUGUUCGUUCUUCUUCUUCUUCUUCUUCUUCUUCUUUUUCUUGGCUCCUUAUUCUUGUUAAUUACUAGAGUAGUCUGUCAAAAUAAAUAAAUAGAACAGCUUGUCAAGUUCAUACUCAUUCAGAUUUAGGCAAGGUAGAGUAGUUGACUCGAUCGUAGAAAAACUGUCAUCCUCUGUUCAUCAUCGUAGCGGACGGGAUUUGUGUUAAAUUCUAGCCCCCUCGCAAAAAAUAGCUUCUGCCAUCGGUUUUGGAUGGGGCACAGUGCCACGUUUCGUUUCUCAGAUUCUUCUUUCGAGUCGGUUUUCGUUUCUCAGAAUCUCAGAUGAAGGCGGUGCCGGCCGUCCAUAUCUCUUUUCCAAAAAAUAAUAAAUAGCCAUUAAUAAGGAAACAAAAAAGGAGAUCAACGCCCCCUCCGAUUACUGCGUUCCUAAGUAUUUCCGUCCAUAUAUGCACGGCACCGGUGGAGUAAAAAGUUUCCUUCUACUCUAUGAAAGUCCUCAUCUACGUAUGUUCCUCGAAACCACCCGUUUCAUCCAAUUCCCCUCUCUGUUUCAGAAAAAAUAAGAACAAGAACACAUAUAAAUCUCUUCUCAUUCCUCUACACCAAGAACUAGGUAAGAUGGUUUAUGGUUUUGUAUAGAUCUUUAUGUAUCUAGAUCGCUGCAUAUUUCCAUGUAUCUGAAUCACUUCCAGCAUAGAUCUCCAUCUAUGGUUUUGUAUAAACUGCUGGAAUUUUGUCUAUUUUGGGCCUAGCCCAAUAGCAAUUUCAGAAAUUCUUAAUAAAUCUUAGAGGCUCACACAGCCCAUUCGUGCAAGGCAAGAGGUGGAACUAAAGUUUAGUCCUACAUUGCUAGUUUAGAGGGAGUUUGACCUCUUUAUAAGGAGGUUCUUUCCCCACUUGUAUGAGCAUGAGAACAAGAGGGACAUCCACGCGCGCUCCUCCGCCGCCCGCCUCGUCCCGCCGCGCCGCGGGUUGCGGGAAUGAGCCGAUGUCUAAAUUUUUGCCACGCACUACGGGUAUACGAAAGGUCACACGGAAGCUGAAAAGAUUUUUGCGAAAGUGGAGUUCGAAUGCGAACGGUGCAACCCUUCGGCUGCUGGCUGUUCGCUUCAUCUCCGUCUCUUCGUUUCACCUCCCGUCGCUGCCCUCUCGCCUCCUUCUCUUGCGCCUAUAAAAGGGAGGUCGCUCCUCCCAGAGAGACGCACCAGAACUACUCCUUCCCUCGCCAUCGGUUCCAUCUCUGAGCUGCUGCUGUCUUCCUCAUCCCGGCUUGCGGCGUGCACCGCACGUCGGGACAGUAGGCCUCCGAAACCGCACCUUUUGAGUCCUGUACGGGAGAAGGGUGAUAAGGUUUUUGGGGAGCGCUCAGCGCGACUACUGGCUGCUUCAUCACGGACGAUCCGGUCGCCGACGACUACUUUCCCGACGACGACUUCUUCCCCGACGUCCAUGACCUCCUCGACGACAUGGCAGACGAGGACACCGACCCCAAGUCCAGCGCUUCUGCUGCUGCCGUCCCGUACAUAUUCUUCUCCUUUCUAUUAGAGGUCCUGCUACAGUCCCUUGUUCUAGUAUUUGCCCUAGAUAUGUUAGACUCUAUUUCAUGUAUGCAACUUGCUAUAUUGUCUGCUCUAGAUAUGUUUAGUUACAGUUCAUAUAUGAAGAUGUUGUUUACCUUCUCUUUGUCAAAUCGCAUGGCGUGUUUUAUCACUACUAUUCUGGUCAUGCUUUAUCUAGUAUUUCUGUUAAUAAAAUAAUUCGGUAAAUUGCUCAUAUUUCCAACAAUCCAAAAACCUUAUUAUAGGCAAUUUACCCUGAGUGGUUUUGCUGCUUCCAUGAGACCUCCUAUGUUUGAGGGUAUCCACUAUAAGAGGUGGCGCGUGAGAGCAGUCUUAUGGUUUCAAACCAUGAGUUGCUAUGACGCCACUCUAGGCAAACCUGAAGGAGAGCUUGAUGCUCAACAGGCACAAGCUUUUCAGAAAAUGGAUACUCUGUUUAAGGCUGCUCUCUUGAGUGUUCUCGGUGAGAACAUAGUUGAUGCUUAUGCAUCAAUUGAUAAUGGAAAAGAUAUGUGGGAUGCACUCGAGGCCAAGUUUGGGGUCUCGGAUGCUGGCACUGAGCUGUACAUCAUGGAGCAAUUCUAUGAUUACAGGAUGACUGAAGAGCGCUCCGUGGUUGAGCAAGCUCAUGAGAUACAGCCAUUUGCUAGAGAAUUUGAGCACUUCAGUUGUAUGCUACCGGACAAGUUUGUUGCCGGAGGUAUCAUCACUAAGCUUCCUCCUUCGUGGAGGAACUUUGCUACCUUACUGAAGCAUAAGAGACAGGAGUUUUCCGUCCCGUAUCUCAUUGGCACUCUUGAUGUGGAAGAAAAGGCGAGAGCAAAGGAUACACGUGCUCGAGGUAUUGAAUGAGGAUCUAGUGCCAAUCUGGUACAAAAGAAGAACUUCCAGCCCCACAAGUUCAAGAACAAGGGCAAGUUUGAUGGUAAAGCAAAGUUUGAUGGGAAGAAUAAGGUUGUGCAGCACACAAACUUCAAGAAAAAGAAUGACAAGAAGAAAGGUGCUUGUCAUGUGUGUGGCGAUCCUGAUCAUUGGGCUCCUAGUUGCCCUAAUCGCUAUGACAAGCGUCACCCUGGGAAAGGCGGCAAGACCGCUAAUGUUGUCAUUGGAGACACUGACAUGAAGGAUGAUGGGUAUGGUAUAUUUCCCACUAUUCUUUCAGUAUGUCAUUCGCCUGAUUGGUUGAUUGACACGGGUGCUAAUGUGCAUGUAUGCGGUGAUAUUUCCAUGUUUUGGUCUUACCAGACCGCAGGGACUUCAACCAUGCUGAUGGGCGACGGUUCAAGUGCUUCUGUUCGUGGUGUUGGCACGGUCGAUCUGAAGUUUACUUCGAGGAAGAUCGUGCGGCUGAAGAAUGUGCAUUAUGUCCCCUCCGUCAAUAAAAAUCUUGUUAGCGGGUCUCUUCUGUGUAGAGAUGGCUACAAGCUUGUCUUUGAGUCGAAUAAAUUUUUAAUAUCCAAGUAUGGAACCUUUGUUGGUAAAGGCUAUGAGUCAGGAGGUCUGUUUCGUUUAUCCUUAUCAGACGUUUGCAAUAAAGUUUUUAAUCAUAUUUGCAACAAUAGUGAAUCCAGUGUGUGGCAUUCACGUCUCUGUCAUGUUAAUUUUGGUUGCAUGUCGCGACUAGCGAAGUUGAACUUAAUCCCUAGUUUCACCACUGUCAAGGGAUCUAAGUGUCAAGUUUGUGUGCAAGCUAAGCAACCUCGUAAGUCUCACACGACUGCGGAAACGAGAAAUCUUGCACCACUAGAGCUCAUACAUUCAGAUUUAUGUGAAAUGAAUGGUGUUUUGACAAAAGGUGGAAAGAAAUAUUUCAUGACGUUAAUUGAUGACUCCACUAGAUACUGCCGUGUGUAUCUUCUGAAAUAUAAGGAUGAGGCUUUGAACUUUUUCAAGAUCUAUAAAGCUGAAGUGGAAAAUCAACUUGAUCGGAAAAUCAAGAGGCUUAGGUCGGACCGUGGUGGAGAGUAUUUUUCUAAUGAAUUUGAUGCUUUUUGUGCGGAACAUGGUAUAAUCCACGAGAGGACGCCUCCCUAUUCACCUCAGUAAAAUGGGGUGGCCGAAAGAAAGAACCGUACUCUAACUGAUUUGGUUAACGCCAUGUUAGACACAUCGGGUCUCUCCAAGGCAUGGUGGGGGGAGGCGAUAUUGACGGCAUGUCAUGUCCUAAACCGAGUUCCCACAAAGAACAAAGAGAUAACUCCAUUCGAGGAAUGGGAGAAGAAAAGGUUAAAACUCUCUUAUCUACGAACAUGGGGUUGUUUGGCGAAAGUCAAUGUUCCAAUUCCAAAGAAGCAGAAGCUUGGACCAAAGACUGUGGAUUGUGUUUUCCUGGGAUAUGCUUUUCAUAGCAUUGGCUAUAGAUUCUUGAUUGUAAAAUCUGAGGUACCUGACAUGCAUGUCGGUACGAUCAUGGAGUCGAAUGAUGCGACUUUCUUUGAAGAUAUCUUUCCCAUGAAGGAUAUGGCUACCUCAUCUAAUCAGGAGAUGCCUAGUUCAUCGAAUCAGGAACCAGUUACAAUUAGCAAACCUGCCAUUUCGAUGGAACACUUUGAAAGUCCUGUGGAGGAGAACAAUGAAGUUCCUACUAGGAGCAAGAGACAGAGGACUGCAAAGUCCUUUGGUGAUGAUUUUCUUGUGUAUCUCAUAGAUGACACUCCCAGUUCUAUUUCAGAGGCCUAUGCAUCUGAAGAUGCUGACUAUUGGAAGGAAGCAGUUCGUAGCGAGAUGGAUUCCAUCUUGGCGAAUGAAACUUGGGAGAUAACUGAUCGUCCUUAUGGGUGCAAACCUAUAGGAUGCAAAUGGGUAUUCAACAAGAAGCUUAGGCCUGAUGGUACUAUUGAAAAGUACAAGGCUUGGCUCGUGGCUAAGGGUUAUACCCAAAAGGAAGGUGAAGACUUCUUUGAUACUUACUCACCUGUGGCUCGACUGACCACUAUUCGAGUUCUACUUUCACUAGCUGCCUCGCAUGGUUUUCUCGUUCAUCAAAUGGAUGUUAAGACUGCUUUCCUAAAUGGAGAGUUGGACGAGGAAAUUUAUAUGGAACAACCAGAUGGGUUUGUACUAGAUGGUCAGGAAGGAAAAGUGUGCAAGUUGCUGAAGUCUUUGUAUGGACUCAAGCAAGCACCCAAACAGUGGCAUGAGAAGUUGAAAGAACUUUAACAGCUGCAGGCUUUGUUGUGAACGAAGCUGAGAAAUGUGUGUACUAUCGCCAUGGUGGGGGCGAGGGAGUUAUCCUUUGCUUGUAUGUUGAUGACAUACUGAUUUUCGGAACAAAUCUGAAUGUUAUUAAGGAGGUCAAGAAUUUCCUAACUCGCUGUUUUGAGAUGAAGGAUUUAGGAGUGGCUGAUGUCAUUCUGAACAUCAAGUUGUUGAGAGACGAUGAUGGUGGGAUUACAUUGCUUCAAUCUCACUAUGUGGAAAAGAUCUUGAGUCGCUUUGGCUAUAGUGACUGCAAGCCCUCUCCAACACCUUAUGAUGCAAGUGUGUUACUUCGAAAGAAUCGAAGAAUUGCUAGAGAUCAAUUGAAAUAUUCUCAGAUUAUUGGCUCGCUUAUGUACUUAGCAAGUGCUACAAGACCUGGCAUCUCUUUUGCUGUUAGCAAACUGAGUCGGUUUGUCGCAAAACCAGGAGAUGUGCAUUGAAAAGCUCUAGAGAGAGUUUUGCGUUAUUUGAAAGGCACUGCAAAUUAUGGAAUUCACUACACCGGGCACCCAAAGGUGCUUGAAGGGUAUAGUGACUCAAACUGGAUCUCAGAUGCUGAUGAGAUAAAGGCCACGAGCGGAUAUGUAUUCACUCAUGGAGGUGGCGCUGUUUCUUGGAAGUCUUGCAAGCAGACCAUCUUAACGAGGUCAACAAUGGAAGCAGAACUCACAGCACUAGAUACAGCUACGGUCGAAGAAGAUUGGCUUCGUCGGCUCUUGAAUGACUUGCCGGUUGUUAAGAAACCUGUACCGGGUAUCCUUAUGAACUGCGACAAUCAAACUGUGAUUACGAAAGUGGGCAGCUCAAAGGAUAACAUGAAGUCAUCAAGACACGUUUAGAGAAGGUUAAAGUCUGUCAGGAAAAUGAAAAACUCCGGAGUUAUUGCAUUAGAUUAUAUCCAAACGUCUAAAAAUCUGGCAGAUCCUUUUACUAAGGGUCUAUCACGUAAUGUGAUAGAUAAUGCAUCGAGGGAGAUGGGUAUGAGACCCACAACAUGAGUUGUUCACAGUGGUAACCUAUUCUUUGUGAUCAGAGAUCCCGUGAAUUAGAUGUGGAAGACAAGCUGUUGGUCAACUGAGAGGAGAGUAUCCUUACUAUUCACAAUAGCACUCCAUUUGAUGCAAUACUCUCCUAAUCUGCAUGGCAGGUUGAUGUAUAUCUUAAUGUGUUCUAAAUGGCUCAUUUAAGCAGAGAUGUUAUCCUGCAGAACAUCUUUUGAAGAACACACCUAUAUGAGUCUGAUUGUCAAACGUCGCAAUCUAUGAGAGUAGGGUUCUCUCUAGUAAACUCAUGAAAGGUCACGGAGUAUGAAGCAUAAGCUCCACCCGCGGGGAAGACCCACGGUAGCCACGUAUCGGUCAAGGCUUUAUGUGAAGCUAGAUUCGCAGAAAACUUGCAGUUCAAGGCCCAGUCCACUGUUCAAGUUGCUUACUAGUGUAGCAUAGAGUUCUAGGUGGAAGUUCAACUUAAUAGUCUCCACUGCAGUACCGGUAUAUAAAAUAGUGUUUUGGAACCAAAGGCAAUUUUUGUGUGCCUCUGGGAUCUGGUGGGGGAUUGCUGGAAUUUUGUCUAUUUUGGGCCUAGCCCAAUAGCAGUUUCAGAAAUUCUUAAUAAAUCCUAGAGGCCCACGCAGCCCAUUCGUGCAAGGCAAGAGGUGGAACUAAAGUUUAGUCCCACAUUGCUAGUUUAGAGGGAGUUGGACCUCUUUAUAAGGAGGUUCUUUCCCCACUUGUAUGAGCAUGCGAACAAGAGGGACAUCCACGCGCGCUCCUCCUCCGCCGCCCGCCUCGUCACGACGCGCCGCUGGUUGUGGGAAUGAGCCGAUGUCUAAAUUUUUGCCACGCACUACGGGUAUACGAAAGGUCACACGGAAGCUGAAAAGAUUUUUGCGAAAGUGGAGUUCGAAUGCGAACGGUGCAGCCCUUCGGCUGCUGGCUGUUCGCUUCAUCUCCGUCUCUUCGUUUCACCUCCCGUCGGUGCCCUCUCGCAUCCUUCUCUUGCGCCUAUAAAAGGGAGGUCGCUCCUCCCAGAAAGACGCACCAGAACUACUCCUUCCCUCACCAUCGGUUCCAUCUCUGAGCUGCUGCUGUCUUCCUCAUCCCGGCUUGCGGCGUGCACCGCACGUCGGGACAGUAGGCCUCCGAAACUGCACCUUUUGAGUCCUGUGCGAGAGAAGGGUGAUAAGGUUUUUGGGGAGCGCUCAGCGCGACUACUGGCUGCUUCAUCACGGACAAUCCGGUCACCGAUGACUACUUUCCCGACGACGACUUCUUCCCCGACGUCCACGACCUCCUCGACGACAUGGCAGGCGAGGACACCAACCCCAAGUCCAGCGCUUCUGCUGCUGUUGUCCCGUACGUAUUCUUCUCCUUUCUAUUAGAGGUCCUGCUACAGUUCCUUGUUCUAGUAUUUGCCCUAGAUAUGUUAGACUCUAUUUCAUAUAUGCAACUUGCUAUACUGUCUGCUCUAGAUAUGUUUAGUUACAGUUCAUAUAUGAAGAUGCUGUUUACCUUCUCUUUGUCAAAUCGCAUGGCUUGUUUUAUCACUACUAUUCUGGUCAUGCUUUAUCUAGUAUUUCUGUUAAUAAAAUCAUUCGGUAAAUUGCUCAGAUUUCCAACAUAAACCUCUAUGUAUCUAGAUCGCGGCAUAUGUUUCCAUGUAUCUAGAUCUAUGCACGCACAUCAAAAUUUCGGUUGCUAAGUUGCUAGAAAGCGAAACUAGCCUAUUACAGCAAUAACAUUGGGGUAUUACUGUCGACUGAUCAAAACAUAGCUCUGAAACUUGUUAUCCAUAUUCAGCCGCUUGUGGCUCUGCUAACUUAGGCAUGCCUUUUUUGAUGUAGCUGCAACAGAGAAGAGCUCGAUUUAGCAAGUAAACUUUGUGGCACAAAAAAGAAAAGCCAAAAAACUGUUUGAUCCAAGUUUGUUAUGACUUCUCUGAUUGUGCAAUAUAUUUUGUGAUACAAACAAAUGAUUUUUGAUGCAAGUUCCCUUCCUAGGUUCCAUAGCAUUGGUCUCUGAACACAUAAUUUGAUAAAUCACUUUGAUAUCAUUUACGCUAGUCAGUCAUAAUUCUCACCUUUACUUGCAAAUUUUGCUGAGCUUCCCAUAGUUGGAGCCCUUGUUACAUCCCUUGUUUCCACCAGCUUUCCCACUCUUCUUGAUGUUCUCCUCCUUAGUCUUGCGGACGAAUUCUUCUUUCUUCUUUUUAUCGUACUCAUGUUUCUUUUCAUGCUCUGCUUUAUUGCCUCUCAGGUAAUGGCGACACUUUGGGCAGUACCAAGGUUCUCCCCCGCCAGCCACGACAGCUGCAGCAGCCACUGCUCCUCCUCCAAACGGUACGGCCAUGGCCUGCAAAGACAAAGCAAUAUCAGACCGUUGCAUCCAUGAGCAUGUUUUUGCAAAAGGAAAUUGCUAAUUGAACAUUUGAUUCUAUUUAUCUUGGUGCUCUUUACUUUUGAAUGAACAAAGUUUCCA